GUGGUAAUGCCGGAUGCUCCGACUCCUCGCAUGGGGUGUCGGGAAAGAUUUCAUCGGUAUGGGAUGGGGUCGCGUCCUAUCAGGUAGUCGGCGGGGUAACGGCCCACCGAGCCUACGACGGGUAGCCGGCCUGAGAGGGCGACCGGCCACAUUGGGACUGAGAUACGGCCCAGACUCCUACGGGAGGCAGCAGUGGGGAAUAUUGCACAAUGGGCGCAAGCCUGAUGCAGCGACGCCGCGUGCGGGAUGACGGCCUUCGGGUUGUAAACCGCUUUUGAUCGGGAGCAAGCCUUCGGGUGAGUGUACCUUUCGAAUAAGCACCGGCUAACUACGUGCCAGCAGCCGCGGUAAUACGUAGGGUGCAAGCGUUAUCCGGAAUUAUUGGGCGUAAAGGGCUCGUAGGCGGUUCGUCGCGUCCGGUGUGAAAGUCCAUCGCUUAACGGUGGAUCUGCGCCGGGUACGGGCGGGCUGGAGUGCGGUAGGGGAGACUGGAAUUCCCGGUGUAACGGUGGAAUGUGUAGAUAUCGA
Molecule: ribosomal RNA, 528 nt
Filed under: Bifidobacterium pseudocatenulatum
Lineage: Bacteria; Bacillati; Actinomycetota; Actinomycetes; Bifidobacteriales; Bifidobacteriaceae
Description: bacterial SSU rRNA
Rfam family: Bacterial small subunit ribosomal RNA
Source: RNAcentral